Gossypium raimondii (Peruvian cotton) is the source of this 107-nucleotide small nucleolar RNA. It matches the Rfam family "Plant small nucleolar RNA R71". Rfam says of the family: R71 is a member of the C/D box family of snoRNAs containing the C (UGAUGA) and D (CUGA) box motifs. Lineage: Eukaryota; Viridiplantae; Streptophyta; Magnoliopsida; Malvales; Malvaceae. The record is from Rfam.
AUUCCAUGAUGAGGGCAUUUUUUUAAUAACUCUUUGUACCUUUCCCAUGCCUUAUACAAGGACUCAUCAUCCAUUUGUUGGAAAGUAGUGAUCUCAUUCCUCAACUU